UUGCCACCUAGACUUCAUAA
This 20-nucleotide non-coding RNA is filed under the name Arabidopsis thaliana (thale cress). The record is from RNAcentral. Lineage: Eukaryota; Viridiplantae; Streptophyta; Magnoliopsida; Brassicales; Brassicaceae.